UAGGUGGCAAGCGUUGUCCGGAUUUACUGGGCGUAAAGGGAGCGUAGGCGGAUGUUUAAGUGGGAUGUGAAAUACCCGGGCUCAACUUGGGUGCUGCAUUCCAAACUGGAUAUCUAGAGUGCAGGAGAGGAAAGUGGAAUUCCUAGUGUAGCGGUGAAAUGCGUAGAGAUUAGGAAGAACACCAGUGGCGAAGGCGACUUUCUGGACUGUAACUGACGCUGAGGCUCGAAAGCGUGGGGAGCAAACAGGA
This 250-nucleotide ribosomal RNA is filed under the name uncultured bacterium. RNAcentral describes it as "partial 16S ribosomal RNA". It matches the Rfam family "Bacterial small subunit ribosomal RNA", at positions 528 to 777 of the family's 1533-position model. The record is from RNAcentral.